UACACACCGCCCGUCACAUCACGAAAGUUGAUUGCACUAGAAGUCGGUGGGCUAACCCGCAAGGGGGGCAGCCGCCUAAAGUGUGAUCGGUAAUUGGGGUG
This 101-nucleotide ribosomal RNA is filed under the name uncultured bacterium. RNAcentral describes it as "partial 16S ribosomal RNA". It matches the Rfam family "Bacterial small subunit ribosomal RNA", at positions 1384 to 1482 of the family's 1533-position model. The record is from RNAcentral.